AAUGAACGCUGGCGGCAGGCCUAACACAUGCAAGUCGAGCGAGCGGCGGACGGGUGAGUAAUGCCUAGGAAUCUGCCUGGUAGUGGGGGAUAACGUGCGGAAACGGGCGCUAAUAACGCAUAACAUCGGAUGUGCCCAGAUGGGAUUAGCUUGUAGGUGAGGUAACGGUUCACCUAGGCGACGAUCCCUAGCGGGUCUGAGAGGAUGACCAGCCACCCUGGAACUGAGACGCGGUCCAGACUCCUACGGGAGGCAGCAGAGGGGAAUAUUGCACUAUGGGCGCAAGCCUGAUUCAGCCAUGCCGCGUGUAUGAAGAGGUCCUUCGGGUUUUAAAGUACUUUCAGCGGGGAGGCGUUACCCUCAGAAUAAGCACCGGCUAACUCCGUGCCAGCAGCCGCGGUAAUAC
This 406-nucleotide ribosomal RNA is filed under the name uncultured bacterium. RNAcentral's name for it is "partial 16S ribosomal RNA". It matches the Rfam family "Bacterial small subunit ribosomal RNA", at positions 29 to 526 of the family's 1533-position model. The record is from RNAcentral.